RNAcentral lists this long non-coding RNA (283 nucleotides) under Mytilus galloprovincialis (Mediterranean mussel). Lineage: Eukaryota; Metazoa; Mollusca; Bivalvia; Mytilida; Mytilidae. The record is from RNAcentral.
GUGUGUAAAAGAUAAAGUAUGCACUCACAAUUUAGGAAUUAGGUACAGUGUUCAUUAAUUUUGCACGGUUCUUGUACCGUUUGUUUUAUAAGAAACAGGAAGUUCUUGCAAUUCAUGAGCUUGAUUUCAAGUAUGGUGAGGGGAUAUCUGUUGGUCAGGCUAUUUCUAUAUAAUUUCUAUCCCUUUUAGAUUUACAUAUUUUAACAUUAAUGUUCCGUCUAGAUGCACACACUUUGUUGUGAACCUACAAGUCAUCUAAGUCUUAAGGGCAUACGAUACAGUU